UGACCGCGUAUGAAAGUACGUUUCACCCUCGGGUGACAGGGAGACAGGUGGUGCAUGGUUGUCGUCAGCUCGUGUCGUGAGAUGUUGGGUUAAGUCCCGCAACGAGCGCAACCCCUACGUUUAGUUGCUAACAGGUGAAGCUGAGCACUCUAGACGAACUGCCGUUGAACAAACGGAGGAAGGUGGGGAUGACGUCAAAUCAUCAUGCCCCUUAUGUUCUGGGCUACACACGUGCUACAAUGGCCGGUACAGACGGAGGCGAAGCCGCGAGGCGGAGUAAAUACCGAAAAAGCCGGUCUCAGUUCGGAUUGCAGGCUGCAAUUCGCCUGCAUGAAGUCGGAAUCGCUAGUAAUCGCAGGUCAGCAUACUGCGGUGAAUACGUUCCCGGGCCUU
This 393-nucleotide ribosomal RNA is filed under the name uncultured Pelotomaculum sp. RNAcentral's name for it is "bacterial SSU rRNA". It matches the Rfam family "Bacterial small subunit ribosomal RNA", at positions 992 to 1382 of the family's 1533-position model. The record is from RNAcentral. Lineage: Bacteria; Bacillati; Bacillota; Clostridia; Eubacteriales; Desulfotomaculaceae.